GCUGCCCCGUUCGGUUCUCGACGUCCCUUGUCGCAGUGGUAAAAAAAAUAUAUUUAAUGGCUGAUUAAAAAGAUUCUGAAUCUACUAGAGCGCAUAUAUUUGGAGAACGAUUUCCCUGAAUGUAUAAAAGAAGCCGCAACUUUGAAGAACUGCAUUCAGAUGUCGUUAUCACUGAUCUGUGAUUGUGGCUGUGAUCUGUGACUGUGAUCUGUGACUUGUGCAAACUUGUGGUUAAAUAUAUGAAUGAAGUGACAAAUUUCUACUUGGAUGGAUAAAUGUAAAUGAAUCGUCAUUUGUAACCAGACUUAAUCUAAAAGCUUGUGUUCAUUGCAAAGUGCUACCGAUUCGAAUCGAAUUAUUACCAUAGAUUUACUUGAAUAGGUGUGAUCACUGGGACACUUUUAAAGGAAAUACAAAGAUCUGUUCAUCUCAAGCUUUAUUUUUAUGUUUUUAAUAUUUCCCAAUCAAUUUGUUACAGUA
This is a long non-coding RNA of Drosophila willistoni, 480 nucleotides long. RefSeq lists it as uncharacterized. Lineage: Eukaryota; Metazoa; Arthropoda; Insecta; Diptera; Drosophilidae. The record is from RefSeq and is a predicted model, not a curated record. The transcript is spliced from 3 exons.